GAUGAACGCUCGCGGGAGGCCUAACACAUGCAAGCCGAGCGGUAUUGUUUCUUCGGACAUGAGAGAGCGGCGUACGGGUGCGUAACACGUGUGCAACCUGCCUUUAUCUGGGGGAUAGCCUUUCGAAAGGAAGAUUAAUACUCCAUAAUAUAUUGAACGGCAUCGUUUAAUAUUGAAAGCUCCGGCGGAUAGAGAUGGGCACGCGCAAGAUUAGCUAGUUGGUGAGGUAACGGCUCACCAAGGCGAUGAUCUUUAGGGGGCCUGAGAGGGUGAUCCCCCACACUGGGACUGAGACACGGACCAGACUCCUACGGGAGGCAGCAGUGAGGAAUAUAGGUCAAUGGGUGCAAGCCUGAACCAGCCAUCCCGCGUGAAGGACGACUGCGCUAUGGGUUGUAAACUUCUUUUGGAUAGGGAUAAACCUACCCUCGAGAGGGUAGCUGAAGGUACUAUACGAAUAAGCACCGGCUAACUCCGUG
RNAcentral lists this ribosomal RNA (479 nucleotides) under uncultured bacterium. RNAcentral describes it as "partial 16S ribosomal RNA". It matches the Rfam family "Bacterial small subunit ribosomal RNA", at positions 28 to 507 of the family's 1533-position model. The record is from RNAcentral.